Molecule: ribosomal RNA, 484 nt
Filed under: uncultured bacterium
Lineage: Bacteria
Description: partial 16S ribosomal RNA
Rfam family: Bacterial small subunit ribosomal RNA
Source: RNAcentral
AUUGAACGCUGGCGGCAUGCCUAACACAUGCAAGUCGAGCGGAUGAAGGGAGCUUGCUCCUGGAUUCAGAGGCGGACGGGUGAGUAAUGCCUAGGAAUCUGCCUGGUAGUGGGUGAUAACGUCUGGAAACGGGCGCUAAUACCGCAUACGUCCUGCGGGAGAAAGUUGGGGAUCUUCGGACCUCUCGCUAUCAGAUGAGCCUAGGUCGGAUUAGCUGGCUGGUGGGGUAAAGGCCUACCAAGGCGACGAUCCGUAACUGGACUGAGAGGAUGAUCAGUCACACUGGAACGGGGACACGGUCCAGACUCCUACGGGAGGCAGCAGUGGGGAAUAUUGGACAAUGGGCGAAAGCCUGAUCCAGCCAUGCCGCGUGUGUGAAGAAGGUCUUCGGAUUGUAAAGCACUUUUAGUUGGGAGGAAGGGCAGUAAGUUAAUACCUUGCUGUUUUGACGUUACCAACAGAAGAAGCACCGGCUAACUUCGUG